AGCUUCAGGACACUCGGUAAUGUGUGUGAUAUGCUCCUCACACAGCACCUCCUCGGUCCUCUCAGGCUGCGACAGACCUGGUCCUGCCACCAGCAGAACGCAACAGGUACCAAAAAAGUACCCUUGAAAACAGAUGGAAGACGAGUCCCAGUAUUACCAGGGGCUUCAGUGAAGAUCAUGGCCCAUUGCACAGGAAGGAUGUGCUCACUUCCAGAAGAUCCUACGGUCUAAUUCAAGCCAGAAGGAAGGCUUGUUCCCAAGAAAUACUGAAUUUCAUGGCAUUGACUCCUGAUCCUUGGAUUGCUUCUUCAUCCCAUCUCAGACAUGUCUCCAAAGAUGCAGAGGUCAAGGAAGUGUCAUAACGUGACCAAAUUCACUGGCUGGCGUGACUUCCACAGCUAUAAUAAAUACCACAGAAUGCCAGAAGUGGAUGUAAGCUAUUAACCACACUGAGGUAGGAAAUCCAGGGAUCAGGAGUUAAGAGACUAUAUUAAACAUUUUAUUUGAGAUUCAGAUGUCUCAUGGAAGAACACAGCCUUGAAAUGAGAUCCAGACCAGCUGAUGGCUUGGAUGGGGCCAUGUCGGAUGGAGCUGUGGGCAAUCUGAUCUAGUGGGAAGGAGGUUUGAUCUCUAAGGUCCCUUCCAACCCAAACUGCUCUGUGAUUCUGUGAAGACACCACUUUGCACAUCACUGGAACCACUCUGAUUGCUCCAACAGGGAAUCUGGCACUAACAGGUGUGGUUGCAGGAAAGGAAAAUAAGUGUUUCGAGAGAUGCAUAUCCAGCAUUUUUGAUCAGAACAGAGUGAAAACAACAGAUUUCCUCUAACACACCAGCCUGAAGAGAGCUAAGUGCCUUUUGCACAAUGUUCACCAUGAAGUCUGUGGAGAGAAAUCCAGCUCAAGAGAAAUUCCACAGAAGACAAUGAUGUCCUAGUAAAGGCAAAAGGAUAGUUAAAGGAAGGUGUGUUUGAGCACUGUUGAUACAUAAUGGGACUGACAGUGUUGCACACUCAUGUGCCAGAGGCUUUUCCUCCCUACUGAGGCAGCAAAAGUAUAGUUUUAGCAUAUUCUGACAUUAAUUGAAAAUGCAUUAGUGGCUGAGAGCAAACAUUAGCUCUUGGUCUUGAGAAAUUUCCUUUGUCACAAGCAUAAUUGUAAUAAAAACUGAAACACCAAAAUAAAUGUUAGAACAUUUA
This is a long non-coding RNA of Parus major (Great Tit), 1198 nucleotides long. RefSeq lists it as uncharacterized. The record is from RefSeq and is a predicted model, not a curated record. The transcript has 4 exons. NCBI's taxonomy places the organism in Eukaryota, Metazoa, Chordata, Aves, Passeriformes, Paridae.